GUCGCUGGUUCGAUUCCGG
Molecule: non-coding RNA, 19 nt
Filed under: Arabidopsis thaliana (thale cress)
Lineage: Eukaryota; Viridiplantae; Streptophyta; Magnoliopsida; Brassicales; Brassicaceae
Also listed under: 2 other names
Source: RNAcentral